This 1333-nucleotide ribosomal RNA is filed under the name uncultured Pelagibacterales bacterium. RNAcentral's name for it is "bacterial SSU rRNA". It matches the Rfam family "Bacterial small subunit ribosomal RNA". The record is from RNAcentral. Lineage: Bacteria; Pseudomonadati; Pseudomonadota; Alphaproteobacteria; Candidatus Pelagibacterales.
AGUCGAACGAAGUAGCAAUACUUAGUGGCAGACGGGUGAGUAACAUGUAGGUAUCUGCCCUUUGGCCUGGAAUAACACGAGGAAACUUGUGCUAAUACCGGAUAAGUCUUUACGGAGAAAGCUUUAUGCACCAUUGGAUGAGCCUGCACUUGAUUAGUUUGUUGGUGGGGUAAUGGCCUACCAAGACUGUGAUCAAUAGCUGAUUUGAGAGGAUGAUCAGCCACAUUGGGACUGAGACACGGCCCAAACUCCUACGGGAGGCAGCAGUGGGGAAUCUUGCACAAUGGAGGAAACUCUGAUGCAGCGAUGCCGCGUGAGUGAAGAAGGCCCUUGGGUUGUAAAGCUCUUUCGUCGGGGAAGAAAAUGACUGUACCCGAAUAAGAAGGUCCGGCUAACUUCGUGCCAGCAGCCGCGGUAAUACGAAGGGACCUAGCGUAGUUCGGAAUUACUGGGCUUAAAGAGUUCGUAGGUGGUUGAAAAAGUUAGUGGUGAAAUCCCAGAGCUUAACUCUGGAACUGCCAUUAAAACUUUUCAGCUAGAGUAUGAUAGAGGAAAGCAGAAUUUCUAGUGUAGAGGUGAAAUUCGUAGAUAUUAGAAAGAAUACCAAUUGCGAAGGCAGCUUUCUGGAUCAUUACUGACACUGAGGAACGAAAGCAUGGGUAGCGAAGAGGAUUAGAUACCCUCGUAGUCCAUGCCGUAAACGAUGUGUGUUAGACGUUGGAAAUUUAUUUUCAGUGUCGCAGGGAAACCGAUAAACACACCGCCUGGGGAGUACGACCGCAAGGUUAAAACUCAAAUGAAUUGACGGGGACCCGCACAAGUAGUGGAGCAUGUGGUUUAAUUCGAAGAUACGCGCAGAACCUUACCAACACUUGACAUGUUCGUCGCGACUCUAAGAGAUUAGAGUUUUCGGUUCGGCCGGACGAAACACAGGUGCUGCAUGGCUGUCGUCAGCUCGUGUCGUGAGAUGUUGGGUUAAGUCCCGCAACGAGCGCAACCCUCACUUUUAGUUGCCAUCAUUAAGUUGGGCACUCUGAAAGAACUGCCAGUGAUAAGCUGGAGGAAGGUGGGGAUGACGUCAAGUCCUCAUGGCCCUUACGUGUUGGGCUACACACGUGCUACAAUGGUAUCUACAACAGGAAGCAAGACUGCGAAGUUAAGCAAAUCCCUAAAAGAUACCUCAGUUCGGAUUGCACUCUGCAACUCGAGUGCAUGAAGCUGGAAUUACUAGUAAUCGUGGAUCAGCGUGCCACGGUGAAUGCGUUCCCGGGUCUUGUACACACCGCCCGUCACACCAUGGGAGUUGGUUCUACCUUAAGGCAAGGUUCAAACC